ACGACGAAAAAACCAAUGUAGACUUUGUGUUAUGCAAGAAAGAUUUUUCUCUUCCUUUCUCUCUCACUUGGCUUUUGUCUGUCUACAAAUGACUCUUGUGUAUCCUACUAAUAUGACUCCUCUUCCAACCUUGCGUAACUGGAUCAAGUCUAUAUCGGAUACGGAUCCUUUUAUCUAGGUUUGCUGCCCUGCGACACGUGGCAGAAGAGGACUCAAGGACACAUGCCAGACCUUGCGUAACUGGAUCAAGUUUAUACCGACACCUGACAUCAAGAUUUAAAUUUUCUGGAGCAACCUUUGAGAAGAAGGAUACAAGUGGUUUCAAAGCUAGCCACGUGGCUAAACCAUCAGCGUCAACUAAGAAUCCUAGUAAAAGAAGACGUAUAAUUCCCAAUUGUAUCGCCCCCUAAGAUGAACCAAGAAGUGGAUUUCAAUGAUGCGGAUCUUUUGGAUUGCAACAUAAGCACCAUAGGAGAUCUCAAUUCCUUCUCUCGGGUGAAAGUAGGUACUAUAAAAUCUAAUUCAACAUCAAAGAAGGCCGAUGAAGCAUUUGUUUCUAAGUAAAGUGAGACAUAAUGAUCCGCAUUAUUUAGGUUUAUACUCCACAUAAUAAGGGUGCCC
RNAcentral lists this long non-coding RNA (621 nucleotides) under Vigna radiata. Its description in RNAcentral is "long non-coding RNA (VRAD_LNC005965)". The record is from RNAcentral. Lineage: Eukaryota; Viridiplantae; Streptophyta; Magnoliopsida; Fabales; Fabaceae.